RNAcentral lists this ribosomal RNA (414 nucleotides) under uncultured microorganism. Its description in RNAcentral is "bacterial SSU rRNA". It matches the Rfam family "Archaeal small subunit ribosomal RNA", at positions 330 to 745 of the family's 1478-position model. The record is from RNAcentral.
GUGCAGCAGGCGCGAAACCUCCGCAAUGCGCGAAAGCGCGACGGGGCCACCCCGAGUGCCGCCCGCUGAGGGCGGCUUUUCCCCGGUGUAGACAGCCGGGGGAAUAAGGGGAGGGCAAGUCUGGUGUCAGCCGCCGCGGUAAUACCAGCUCCCCGAGUGGUGGGGACGAUUAUUGGGCCUAAAGCGUCCGUAGCCGGCCCGGCAAGUCUCCCGUUAAAUCCAGCGAUCUAAUCGCUGGACUGCGGGAGAUACUGUCGGGCUAGGGGGGCGGGAGAGGCCGGCGGUAUUCCCGGGGUAGGGGUGAAAUCCUAUAAUCCCGGGAGGACCACCAGUGGCGAAGGCUGCCGGCUGGAACGCGCCCGACGGUGAGGGACGAAAGCCGGGGGAGCGAACCGGAUUAGAUACCCGUGUAGU